This 393-nucleotide ribosomal RNA is filed under the name uncultured bacterium. RNAcentral describes it as "bacterial SSU rRNA". It matches the Rfam family "Bacterial small subunit ribosomal RNA", at positions 28 to 414 of the family's 1533-position model. The record is from RNAcentral.
GACGAACGCUGGCGGCGUGCUUAAUACAUGCAAGUCAACUUGACUUUAGAUAGCAAUAUCGAAAAGUAGGGUGGCGCACGGGUGCGUAACGCGUAGGUAAUCUGCCCUGAGGUCUGACAUAACCCGUCGAAAGGCGGGCUAACAUCAGAUGAUAUAUAAUCACGACAUCGUGGAAAUAUCAAAUCUUCGGAGCCUUGGGAUGAGCCUGCGUCUGAUUAGGUAGUUGGCGGAGUAAUAGCCCACCAAGCCUACGAUCAGUAGCUGGUCUGAGAGGAUGAUCAGCCACACUGGAACUGAGACACGGUCCAAACUCCUACGGGAGGCAGCAGUGGGGAAUAUUGCACAAUGGCGGAAAGGACCUCGAUGCAGCAACGACCGCGUGAGCGAUGAAGG